GCCUUUUUCAUUUAACUCACCUCUCAAACCCGUACGUGUAGAGGUAUCUGCAGUUUCAGCGAUUCGAUUAAGAUCCAUUUGCACUGCUCGUCUAGUGCUUGACAAAGGAACCUUAGAUAUUUAUCACUCCAAUGCAUAAAUACAUCUACAUAGAUUAACUAAUAGCAGCAGAUGACAAUAUUGACAAUAUUGUAAACAUAUAUAUAUAUAUAUAUAUAUAUAUAUAUAUAUAUAUAUAUAUA
Molecule: long non-coding RNA, 242 nt
Filed under: Fragaria vesca (wild strawberry)
Lineage: Eukaryota; Viridiplantae; Streptophyta; Magnoliopsida; Rosales; Rosaceae
Description: long non-coding RNA (FVES_LNC004262)
Source: RNAcentral